CCUAGGGUGGCAGCAGUGGGGAAUAUUGGACAAUGGAGGAAACCCUGAUCCAGCGACGCCGCGUGAGUGAAGAAGUAUUUCGGUACGUAAAGCUCUAUCAGCAGUAAAGAAAAUGACGGUACUUGACUAAGAAUCCCCGGCUAACUACGUGCCAGCAGCCGCGGUAAUACGUCGGGGACCAGCGUUAUCCGGAUUUACUGGGUGUAAAGGGAGCGUAGACGGCAGCGCAAGUCUGGAGUGAAAUGCCGGGGCCCAAUCCCGGAACUGCUCUGGAAACUGUGAAGCUGGAGUGCAGGAGAGGUAAGCGGAAUUCGUGGUGUAGCGGUGAAAUGCGUAGAUAUCAGGAAGAACACCGACUGCGAAGGCAGCUUACUGGACUGUAACUGACGUUGAGGCUCGAAGGCGUGGGUAGCAAACAGGAUUAGAUACCCGAGUAGUC
Molecule: ribosomal RNA, 439 nt
Filed under: uncultured bacterium
Lineage: Bacteria
Description: partial 16S ribosomal RNA
Rfam family: Bacterial small subunit ribosomal RNA
Source: RNAcentral